Molecule: ribosomal RNA, 250 nt
Filed under: uncultured Selenomonas sp.
Lineage: Bacteria; Bacillati; Bacillota; Negativicutes; Selenomonadales; Selenomonadaceae
Description: partial 16S ribosomal RNA
Rfam family: Bacterial small subunit ribosomal RNA
Source: RNAcentral
UACGUAGGUGGCGAGCGUUGUCCGGAAUCAUUGGGCGUAAAGGGAGCGCAGGCGGGCAUGUAAGUCUUUCUUAAAAGUGCGGGGCUCAACCCCGUGAUGGGAAAGAAACUAUAUGUCUUGAGUACAGGAGAGGAAAGCGGAAUUCCCAGUGUAGCGGUGAAAUGCGUAGAUAUUGGGAGGAACACCAGUGGCGAAGGCGGCUUUCUGGACUGCAACUGACGCUGAGGCUCGAAAGCCAGGGGAGCGAACG